RNAcentral lists this ribosomal RNA (363 nucleotides) under uncultured fungus. RNAcentral describes it as "eukaryotic LSU rRNA". It matches the Rfam family "Eukaryotic large subunit ribosomal RNA", at positions 40 to 398 of the family's 3401-position model. Lineage: Eukaryota; Fungi. The record is from RNAcentral.
AUAUCAAUAAGCGGAGGAAAAGAAACUAACAAGGAUUCCCCUAGUAAUGGCGAGUGAAGCAGGAUGAGCUCAAAUUUGAAAUCUGGCUGGUUUACUAGUCCGAGUUGUAAUUUAAAGAAGCGUUUUCAGUGGCAGCCUGGGUAUAAAUCCUUUGGAAUAGGGUAUCAUAGAGGGUGAGAAUCCCGUCUUUGACCUAGUGCAUGCUACUAUGUGAUACGUUUUCAAAGAGUCGAGUUGUUUGGGAAUGCAGCUCGAAAUGGAUGGUAAAUUUCAUCUAAAGCUAAAUAUUGGCGAGAGACUGAUAGUGAACAAGUACUGUGAGGGAAAGAUGAAAAGAACUUUGAAAAGAGAGUUAAACAGUGC